RNAcentral lists this long non-coding RNA (2221 nucleotides) under Anas zonorhyncha (Eastern spot-billed duck). RNAcentral's name for it is "lncRNA (ENSAZOG00000005489.1)". Lineage: Eukaryota; Metazoa; Chordata; Aves; Anseriformes; Anatidae. The record is from RNAcentral.
GGUUAAUCAGGAAGAUGGUUAAAUUUAUUAUUUUCUUUGACAUCUAACUACUGUUUCUGCCACUACUUGAAAAAUAGCAAAAACCUUUGAAUUUAUUAUUACGAUGGAAUUUUUCAAAGAUACAUUAACAUGAUGUUGAUAGAGAAAUUAGACUUGAAUUACAAACUAAGGCUCUAUCACCUUCCUAAAUUCCACUAUCCUAAUACAUUUUAUUUUCUUUAAUUUAUGCUUUAAAAGUACUCAAGAUUCAGAGGAAUACUGAGAACAGGACCUCCGUUAUGAACUUCUAAUAAUUUACCAUACAGAAAAUGGUAAUAGUAAAAAAUAGACUUGCAGUUUCCUUAUUGAUCCCUAUUGACAAAGUUCUGCUGAACAAGUUUCAGACAUAAGUACACAGGGAAGGACCUAUGGCAGUGGGAUAGAAGAAAAGCUCUUUCAUGUAAGAUGUAUUUUAAGACUGAAACUCAAGGCUACAGCUAAGCUGGUACACUACAGAGAUGAUUUUCUGAGUGGAAGAAGCAGUAAAAAGCUCAGGAUACAACCCUCCUGCCCUUCCUCUAUCACAGUUGUUGCUAGCUGUAAUCAAUUAACUGCACUCAACCACACCUAUGCUGGUAAAGAAACUGCUAAACGUUGUCUUGUGGGGUGUAGUGCAGAGCUGAAAGCAGUGCUAUUUCCUAGUGGUAAUUAUUUCCCAUUGACUCAGACCAAAGGACGGUGUGGACACCUCACAAACAUAUCCUUCUUCCAGCCAGUGGGGUCCUGCCAAUCUCCCUUGGAGUGGUCGGUUGAAGUGGAGCAGAUCAGUUGUGAAGCGCAGUCCCAGUUGCUUCAGAGGUAUGCGGCUGAUAUGGAGAAUAUGUCAAGUCAACUGGAUGAGUCAGCACGGGCAACAUAAAAGUACCCUCUAACACAUCCUGGAAAUAUUAUUCUGCCUGCUGUUCUUAUCUCACUUCACGUGAAUGCAUUUUGGCUUCUGCACAAGUCACUGUAGCGCUUUUACUUAAUUCUGUAUCCUUUCAGUAGCUUCAUGUAGUCAUCAAGGAACUUGUAAAGAUUCUAUUGACUUUUAGGAACAUGCUUGUUCCUUGUGGGAUUUCCUUUAAAAUUAUUAUUGGUUCCACUUUGUAGAAUAUCCUGUGAUCGCAGCAAGUGAAUAUGCUGAGUUUAAAAUCAUAAUUGUCGUUUACAUAAAACAACACAGAGAUACUGAGAUUUCAUGUAUGUGAUGAGGAAGGAAUGUGGCAGAACGAGCAACAUGGUACCUGUUGCCUGUUUUGUCAUCCUGGGCUUUUACUGUUGGGCUAUCUUUUAGUCCUUUCUAGUAGACACUAACAAUUAGAGGACUAAUAUGGAGAAAUAAAAGUAUAUGCAUAUUAUAUAGUGAGUAGAAUCUUACCAUUGUUGGUUGAUAUUAAAAAAGUGUUAUAGAGGAAACAUUUCAAGAUAUUUUCUGCUGCUUUCCAUGAAAUUAAGUAAUUAUUAGGACUUUUUCUGUGUAUGUCAGAGACUUUCUGGAAAAAGAGUCAUCUGAUUAAGUAAAACAGUGAACACUGAUCAUUCCUGCAUUCCUGCUUUCCUAAAUGUGUGUUCUUUGUUGACUUUCAAUCUAAUAGUAUUUAAAAUAAAUAAGCAAUAUAAAAUAGAACUGUAAUAUAUUAGAGGGAAGGCCUUAAUGAACACAGUUUGCUGUCUCAGCACAGCUACAAGGUAGGGAAUUCAGCAUCCAGUGCUGGCCUUAGCCCAAAGCAGGGUGAAAGAGCACUAAGGCUUGUGUGCAGAAGUUGAACAUUCUUUCUGGAUCCUGAAGGAAGCAAUUCAUUACAUCUUCCAUCCUUCAUCACUAGAAGCAUGGCAAUAGAGAAACAUAGUUCUGGUUUUGCUUACCUCUGCAGCAAGCACAAGCAUGGAGUCUUGCAAAUAAGGAGAGCAAUUUCUGUACUAAGAUGUGUUAGAUAAACUCUUUAACUCAUAUUUCAUUAUCUUCUUGAAUAAGCUGCAAAUGCUUAAGAAAUAUAUUUUCUCAUAUUUUAAUUCUGAAGAGGAGGUGAGUUUAAUGAAUGGUUGUCUCCUACUUCCAGUCUUGGUGCUAUUUCCUAGAAGGUCAGUUUGUAAAAGCAGAUAAGAUGUAAAUUAAUAGUAAAAAGAGGGAAGAUACAAUUUCAAGUAGAAAUUAAUAUCAUUUUUAAAGUAAAGUUUUAGUGUAAGGCAUCAGACUGGU